CUUCGCCAGUCUGAAUGAGGUAUAACUGUAAAAACUUAUUUGCUGUUUUCCCAUAAUUUCAGUCAAUUUUAGAGUUGUCUCUGUUUCUAGACAGUAAUCCAGAGAUGAUGAAGACAGGCCACCAGCUGCCAGCUGUUGGAUAAUAAAGCAAGGUCUUUAAUGCGUUCAUUGGCAGAUUGCUGCUGCCGCUAUGAAGGAGACGCAUACAGCGAGCCACAGUUUACGACCGUCGAGCUCACACCCUGCCAACCGAAUUGGCUUCUCACUCCUCCGCUUGGAACCGGGAAUCACGAAGAGAACACGUCCUGCUGAUUGGUCACGUCUGAUUGGUCGAUGUGGCCAAGUGCUGGAUUAAUUGCCGUUGUCAUAAUGCUAUGGCAACACAAGGCUAUUACCCUGAUGGUGGACAUUCAUCAUGUGACGGCAGACGCGAGGCUCCAGCUCAGUGUACUGUGGCGUGGUUGUCUACAAACACUAGUCAUUCCUCUUGUGUGCAUCCUGUUAUACAAAACAUGUCUGCCCGCCCGCUCCGUUGUCAAGCUCCGUUCAGCCACUCAGAACCACAGACACGGCUGCACUUAGUCUUCGCUGAUGGCUGAAUGAAAAAAAAAAUAAACAUACAGACCUACUGCAGUGAUCAGAGAACGGUAAAUAUAUUACUGCCCGCAGACCUGAGUUCAUCCAAAUGCCAUUUUAAAUCAUGUCAUAUACUUCUAAGCUCAAUCGAUACUUGACUAAGUUGGCCUGGUGCAAUGCAACUAAUGACAGAGCUGAAAAAGUGCAAAACCAGCUCACCUGGAAUUCCAGACAGGCUGAAACAAACCGCUGAAGUAUCUGGAAGAUUUGAAAUAGUACUGGAAUCCAGAUCUGUUUGCCCAGCCUCCAGGAAAUGUUUACAUUACAGGGCCCACGUUCCCAUUCACCCUGGGCUAAUGCAAAUUAAUUUCAACUCUCCAGCAAAUGAUUCCAGGGGACUCGGCCUCUCACUAGGCCCGCAACAAGAGAGAGUUGUAAGGCACCAACACUUCAUUAGCUAUUCCUCAAAGUCUGUAAUGGAUAUAAAGGCAUGGUUGACAUCCCAAUGACACCCUUUUCCCCGAAACUCUGCACUACUUUUAACCAAGACAGCAGAAGCUUUGCUAAAAAUAGUCCACUUUAUGAAGUUAGG
Esox lucius (northern pike) is the source of this 1168-nucleotide long non-coding RNA. Lineage: Eukaryota; Metazoa; Chordata; Actinopteri; Esociformes; Esocidae. The record is from Ensembl.